GACGAACGCUGGCGGCGCGCCUAACACAUGCAAGUCGAACGAGCGAGCGAGAGCUUGCUUUCUCGAGCGAGUGGCGAACGGGUGAGUAACGCGUGAGGAACCUGCCUCAAAGAGGGGGACAACAGUUGGAAACGACUGCUAAUACCGCAUAAGCCCACGGUGCCGCAUGGCACAGAGGGAGAAGGAGCAAUCCGCUUUGAGAUGGCCUCGCGUCCGAUUAGCUAGUUGGUGAGGUAAUGGCCCACCAAGGCGACGAUCGGUAGCCGGACUGAGAGGUUGAACGGCCACAUUGGGACUGAGACACGGCCCAGACUCCUACGGGAGGCAGCAGUGGGGAAUAUUGCACAAUGGGGGAAACCCUGAUGCAGCGACGCCGCGUGGAGGAAGAAGGUCUUCGGAUUGUAAACUCCUGUUGUUGGGGAAGAUAAUGACGGUACCCAACAAGGAAGUGACGGCUAACUACGUA
This 466-nucleotide ribosomal RNA is filed under the name uncultured bacterium. RNAcentral's name for it is "partial 16S ribosomal RNA". It matches the Rfam family "Bacterial small subunit ribosomal RNA", at positions 28 to 507 of the family's 1533-position model. The record is from RNAcentral.